RNAcentral lists this long non-coding RNA (4530 nucleotides) under Sus scrofa (pig). Its description in RNAcentral is "lncRNA (ENSSSCG00000054798.1)". The record is from RNAcentral. Lineage: Eukaryota; Metazoa; Chordata; Mammalia; Artiodactyla; Suidae.
GGCCACACCGGAGGCAUAUGGAAGUUCCUGGACUAGGGGUCAGACCUCCACAGCCACGGCAACACUGGAUCCCAGCCACAUCUGUGACCUGUCCUGCAGCUUGCAGCAACAUGGGAUCCUUAACUCACUGAUGGAGGCUAGGGAUACUAGUUGGGUUCUUAACCCACUAAGCCACAACGGGAACUCCAUCCCUUUUAAAUAAAAACAAUUCAUUUCUGCCUAAAAUAAGGUCCUUUUGAGGGGAUGCAUUUCUGGGCCCAGGCUUUUUGAUUACUGGUUACUAAAUACCUCCCUAAAACCUACAGACAGCUUUAUUUAUUUAUUAAAGUAUAGCUGAUUUACAAUGCUGUGCCAAGUUCUGCUGUACUAGACAGAUUGAAUAUCUUGCACAGUGAAAGAGAAAUGCAGGGACCAACAAUGAGGGUGACUAGGGACCAGCGAAGGGACAAAGAUCUGGGGUGGGGACUGCUGGGACAGGUGAAAUGGGAGAAAAUAAGCUUCCAGCCCGCCCCAGUAGCUCGCAUCCGUUUCCUUCUCUAACCCCUACCUCACUGCCCUGUGCAGGAGCUCGCCACUAAAGCCAUCAGUGCAGUUUCUGCCCUGGGCUUAUGUGUGGAGAGGAUGCUGGCUCAACACAAUCUAAAUAAAACCCUGGUUUGUCCAGAUUCCUCUUCUGAGGAAAAGGAGGAAAGGGCUGGGAGGCUUUUACCAAGCCUCGGUUCCAAGGUUGGAGCACUGGUGAGGCCCCUCAGCCUUGAGGAACCCACAAGGUCGGCACUGCACUUCCGCCAGCCUUCAGCAGGGGCCAGGGUGAGCAGUGAUGUCACCCCAGGAGGACUGUCACCGAUAAGCCUCCCUGGUUUAAUGGCUCAUCAAAAGGCUUAGGAGUCAAACUGUUUUGCACAACAUUUGGCUGACCUUGUUUUUUCGGAUAGAUGUCCUGUAAAUCUUGCAAGGGCAUCAGGGCUGGAAAAGCCUUCCCGUGGUCACCCCACCAGUCUCCUUGCUGUCCAUUCCAAGGAAAGCAGGUGGCAUGCCUGGGGUCUUCUGUUGCUUUCCUCGGAAGGGUCACCAAAUCCUAUUGGCACUGUAAACUAGUGACUGCAUGCCCAGGCCCAAAGGCCCACUCUCUGAGCUUUCCACCCCUCUCACCCCCCUCACCAGCUGUUUGAUUUGAGGAUGCAUUAUUUCGUUUCUCUGUGUCUCUGUUUCCCCAUCUCUAAAAUCAAGAUAAUUAAUAGUGUCUCCCUCCAACAGCUGUUGUGCGCAUCUGAACAGCAGAGGGCACUUAGAAUAGUGCUUGGCACAUAGUAAGUGCUCUAUAAAUGUCGGCCUUUGUUAUACCCAAUUAGGUCUCCGUAAUACCCGUGUUGGGAAACAUGAACACUCUUGUUGAUUUUCAAUUCAGUUUAAUUCGAAGAGUACUUGUUAAGCUAAAGCACUGUGUGAUGCUCCUUCCUAAAGGCUGUGGCAAUAGCAUGACAAGCAGGACACAGUAUAUGCACUGGAGUGUACAGCCUAGCAAGGCAGAAGUAAUUAAGUGCAAAACGUAAGUGCAAACAGGUGUCAGUGGAAAAAUAGACAAAUUUUAACUAGAGGAAAAAAGGUGGUCUAGACAGGCUCCAUGGGGGCAUGAGUAUUUAAGACUUAAAAGUAUGAAUGUUAGUAGAAAAGCAAAAUAGAGCAUUCUGGAAUAAAGGAACAGUUUGAGGAAAGUCACAGAAGAGAGAAAAAAAAACUCAUGGAGAAUUUUUGAAACUAAGAAGAGUGAAGUCAGUCUUAUGAAAGGACAUUAGAGGAGAUGAUGCUGGGCAAACGAAAGGGUCAGACUGGUGAGGAUUUAAAUUUUAGUUCAGUUGUUAAACAAAGGUUUGCUAUUCAAGUGUUGGUGGGAUUUUGGGGGUGGGGAGCAGUGAAAUUAUGGACCUGCAAUUGAGGAACAUCAAUUCUGGUGACAGUGGGAAACAGACACUGGAGAAGCAAAAGAUGGGACACCCAGAGGCCAAUUCAGAGACUGCCAUUCAGUCAGUCCAUAUUUUUGGAGUAUCGGCUAGAUACACACAUGGCAAAGAGUGCAGGUAAGAGACGAAGAAAAUCUGAAAUAAGGCAGGAGAAAAAUGUGGAAGAAGAGGAGUGGGCAAGGAAAAGACAGUCCUAUAGAGAUUUAUUCAGAGAUGGAGACUGAAAGAAAACCAAGAAUGUGGGAUGGGAGUUCCCUAGUGGCUCAGCCAGUUAAGGUCCAGCAUGGUCACUGCUACGGUGAGGGUUUAGUGUCUGGCCCUGGAACUUCCCCAUGCCCUGGGUGCAACUAAAAAAGAAGAAUGACUCAGAAGUCAAGGAAGGAAUGACUGACUACUGCAAGCCAGGCACUGGGCUAAGUGCUUCACACACAAAAUUCACACCUGACCCUCCCAAACACCCUGAGAAAUCAGUAUCAAAAGCUCCACUUUAGGAUGAGGAUUGAUUUUAGAAGGUGCUUGCCCAAGUUCACACAGCUCUCAAGUGGAAGAGGAGCACAAAUUUAAACCAGGCUUUCCCUGCUUUAAAACUCAUGUUUUUUGGGAGUUCCCAUCGUGGCGCAGUGGUUAACGAAUCCAACUAGGAACCAUGAGGUUGCGGGUUCGGUCCCUGCCCUUGCUCAAUUGUUUAUGUGUGGGAACAUUUUUACUCAAUUAAUGGACUUGAAUAAGGCACAUUUUACCAGGAAACCACCCGCUGAAUAACAGAUGUCCACAGUAAACAUGAAACAUCACUGAAUGUUGAGUGACCUUGUUUCAUCAUAUUUCCAGGAAAAGAAAGAGCUCCAUUUCCAUACCCUCAGCCAUUCCCUUGACAUAAGUUAGUACUUCGGGAAGACGUACUAACUCUGCCUGACAGCUGGAAACAUUUAUUAGCAAUAGACCCUCCUUAGACAAUAGAAUUAUAGGCCUGGAAGAAACAUCAGAUACUCUGUCCAAUUUCUUUAGAUAUUGGGUCCAUUCCUCCUCCACUCUGUCUCACCCAGGGUCACAGGUGAGAAACUGAGGCAUGGUAAGAGCAACCUUGGACCAAAGUCAUAAGGCUGGAAUGGAAAUCUAUUUCUGUAAAUCAAAUGUCUUUUGGUCAAAUUCUACCAUAAUUACCGCCAGUGUUAUUUUGGAGGUAGUAUUUUUGACCUUAAAGAAUAAUUUAAAAACAAAUGGUACUAUGGAAUCCAAAUACUCAUUUUGCUUUUGUCCACACACAUUCUGUGUGGAUCUAAUCCCCUCAUAAGCCCCCACACAGCAAGAAGUUAAUCAAACACAAAUACCUCACUAGAACUGAUCCCAAAAUGUGAACAUUCAGAUUCGGACAAAAGACCUAAUAAUGUUUAUCUGCUUUGGGAAAUGCUUUUUUGUUCUACACGGAUAGAAUUCCUUUUGUGGGAAAUUUCCCUCAUGCAUAUUAAAUAUUGCCUGACUUCUACACAACUCUGUAACAACACAACUGCUUAUUAAAAGUAUGUUUGUAAAUAAUCAAAGUACAUGCUCAUACCCUUUCAUGUCAAAGCAAAUAUAUGAUAAUGAUAUGAAAUGAAAAAUUUGUUUCACCCAGGCAUAGAUUAGAAAUGUUCCAGCGUCCUAAAAAUUUUCAGAUUCAUCUAAAGUUUCUUGCGCUGGGCGCUGUAUUUUCUCAUAAAGCCUCAUAAAAAUCCUGAAGUACGUGUCAUUUUCCCAUUUUAGAGAAGAAACAGAAGCCAAGAAAGAUUAAAAACUUUAGGUGUUAAAAUGUGAUUCAAGCCUAAGUAUUCUGAAUCCCCAACCAGUGUUUUUCUCCACUCCUCUGUAUUAUUUUAUUUCGACCUUCUAUAAGAUAUAUAUUUUCAGCCACCAAGCAAGCUGGUUCUCUCUGUCACUUUUUGUGAAGGCUUUUAUCUUGUUUGCAAUUUGGUAAAUAAAUUGAUAUCUGGGAUUGCAAUUCUGCUAACUGAGACACUCUGUUUUCCUGUCUACUUCAGUCACUUUCUGUUUGUUCCCUAUCUAAAACACACCACAAAGUUAAUACCAAUUCCCUUGGGCCUUCCUAUUGAAUGCUAAGUAUUUUAAGAAGAAACACUAUCCCAACUAUUUAGCAGAACUCACUUGCUAGAAGUACCUGCAAAAAAUACUUUGCACGGCAUGUUCAGGACACCUAAGCAGUUUCUUAUUUGCAGUGAAUGAUGUCAGUGAAGCCCUAUUUCCUAAUCUGUACCUGAGUGUCUCCAACACUUCUUACCUAUUAAGAAGUCCACCCAGAGGUCUCAGGUGAGUCAGCAGGGCUCUGCAGGUGUUGGUGCUGGAGGCUCCUGUACGGACUGUCUACACAAUGCUCUAAGCCGGGCCUGUGUAUGAAUGGGGCAGCCUGAGGCUGCACUAAGUCGGUUUGCUUAAAAUGAGGCUUGCCACUACCUGCUGAAAUGGUAGCAUAGUAAACACUAAAGCUCUUAAAAGUAUCUUCUCUGUGGUCUUCGGGUUCUAACUUAGCUUCCAAAGGAAGAGCUAACUUGUUUCCAGGGCUUAGUAAUAAAGCAAU